Long non-coding RNA from Liolophura sinensis, 516 nucleotides. RefSeq lists it as uncharacterized. The record is from RefSeq and is a predicted model, not a curated record. The transcript is spliced from 3 exons. NCBI's taxonomy places the organism in Eukaryota, Metazoa, Mollusca, Polyplacophora, Chitonida, Chitonidae.
UGAUUGGGAUUAUACACGUAUAAUUGCAGGCUGCCCAGCAAGGUAUGUAACGCCUUUCACUUUUGUCAAUUAGAGACGUAUAAAACAGUAAUAUCAUUAUUAAAGAAAUCAACCAUCGUAUUUACAGAAGAUGAAUAAGUAAAUACAUAAAAAAAAAACUUUUUGUAAGCCCUGUAACGUUCGGAUUUUCAGAUUUGGGUCAGAUGUACCUCGGGUGAACCACACAGCCCUGUGUCCCAAGACACAUGACGAUGCUUUCUUCGUUGACCUUGUUAAUUCUGGAGAUGUUUGGAUCUUCGUCAAUGUCUCUUGCUGGAAUGAGAAUUUCCAUUACUUCUUGGAGCCGUACUCUACAACGCUUUUACCAGCAAUGUUCGGGAAUUUGUACGAUGUAUCAACAGUUUACCCAAACGAUACUUGCGUUUUUUCGGCAUGGGACAACCACGUUCAAGAUUGCUUGGUUUACAGCGAGGAGCCAGACUGGGAUUUCGUUCUACAAUCAAUCACUUGUCCAUU